UGGCUGUAGUUUAGUGGUAA
Molecule: non-coding RNA, 20 nt
Filed under: Arabidopsis thaliana (thale cress)
Lineage: Eukaryota; Viridiplantae; Streptophyta; Magnoliopsida; Brassicales; Brassicaceae
Source: RNAcentral